Neoarius graeffei (lesser salmon catfish) is the source of this 1960-nucleotide RNA transcript. It is a transcript of the gene named cholecystokinin a, with no coding region annotated. The transcript is spliced from 3 exons. NCBI's taxonomy places the organism in Eukaryota, Metazoa, Chordata, Actinopteri, Siluriformes, Ariidae. The record is from RefSeq and is a predicted model, not a curated record.
GCGUGGUCAAGCACCGGUCUGUGACAGGAGGGCGGAGUUGGGGAAGGUAAGUGGCAGAAUCGCUUCACCUGAGUGUGAUUAAUCUAUGUUUUGUGUGUGUUCUCCCCAGUAAACCGGGCUAUUUAAGGAGGGAGAGCGAGAGCAGAGGAGCUCUACAACCCGAGCACCGGAAUGUGUGUGUGUGUGUGUGUCUGAGAGAGAAAACCGCUUCCGCUGAAAAGUGAGAAUAAAACUGUUUUGCGAACUCAGUCUUUGUCCUGCCGUCCUCUGUGCUCCACCCACAUCCAGCGAACAUUUACAGUGGUGCCGAAACCCGGGAUCGUGGAGCACCUGUCCUGCAGCCCCAUGGAAUCCUCCCCGUUCGCGGACUUGAUCCACGCCCUCGCCACGGCUCAGCAGAGCCAGCACCAGGCACUCGUCACGCUCCGGAAGGAGCAGGAGCAGCGCUUCGAAGCCCUGGUGCUGGCUCAACAGGAAGACCGAGAGGCGUUCCGGCGCCUCCUCGCGUCGGCGGGGUCCACCAGCGCACCGGCCGCGGGCCCGUCUCCCAUCACCUUGACUAAGAUGGGCCCGCAGGACGACCCCGAGGCAUUCAUCGCGUUGUUCGAACAGGUCGCCGAAGCCUCGGGGUGGCCGGUGGAGCAGCGCGCGGCGCGCCUCCUCCCCCUCCUGACGGGAGAGGCGCAGUUAGCCGCACUACAGCUCCCCGCCGACCACCGGCUGGCCUACGCCGACCUUCGCCGGGCUGUCCUCCAGCGCGUGGGGCGCACGCCGGAGCAGCAGCGCCAGCGCUUCCGCGCGCUGCGAAUGGAGGAAGUCGGCAGCCCAUUCGCGUUCGGCCAGCAGCUCCGGGACGCCUGCUGGCGGUGGCUGAGGGCCGAAGAUCGCGACGCCGAGGGGAUCAUCGACCAGGUGGCGCUGGAACAAUUCAUCGCCCGCCUACCCGCCGGAACCGCGGAGUGGGUCCAGUGCCACCGCCCGGCGUCGCUGGAUCAGGCCGUAGGACUGGCGGAGGAUCAUCUGGCGGCUGUCCCGGCGGCAGGACAACGGCUGUCAUCUUCUCUCUCCUCUUCUCUCUCUCUCUCUCUUCCCCCUCCUCCCGUGUCCCGUCCUCGCCCCAUUCCCCCACCACGGAGGCGGGGGCCGGCUCCACCCCAGCCGGCCCACCGCACCCGUGGUGCCCUCCCGUUUCUCCCUUCUGUGUCUGUCUCUCCCCCCCCUCAGGUGAGUGACCCUCAAACCACAGCUGCAGAGGGGAGGCCCGGGCCGGUUUGCUGGCGCUGCGGGGAACCGGGCCACCUGCAGCAACAGUGUGUCGCGAUGGAGGUGGGGGCGGUGGUGCGGAUCCCCGACGCGCCAGAGGCUGCCCUCGAUCAGGCCGGAGCAUAUCGCAUACCGUAAACCGGGCUAUUUAAGGAGGGAGAGCGAGAGCAGAGGAGCUCUACAACCCGAGCACCGGAAUGUGUGUGUGUGUGUGUGUGUGUCUGAGAGAGAAAACCGCUUCCGCUGAAAAGUGAGAAUAAAACUGUUUUGCGAACUCAGUCUUUGUCCUGCCGUCCUCUGUGCUCCACCCACAUCCAGCGAACAUUUACACCAUAUUUAGAACAAACCUACUACAAGCUCGUCAAAAACACGCCCUGGCUGCUUGUGGACAGUUUCCCUUCGCAAGAACCUCGACCAACUGCCGUUUACGGGCCACAAGGACUUCUCUUGACUUGUUGAACUCAGGGUCCAUGAAGAUAUUUAGUUUCAAGCCGGACUGAUUCAGAUAGCGCUCGAUACUUCUCUGGAAAGACGUGAUCGAGGACGGCUCGUACACAUCGCCAUUUUUCUUUGUUGUGGACAUGAAAAAGUUGCACAGCAACAUGUUUAGUUCUUCGCCAGCACAGCACAUCUUCUCACUCAGUCUCCUGUCUCGCCUGCUGCUCCUCUCUGCUGCACAGCCUCAGUCUCAGUGCAA